GUAAUUUUCUCAGACUUUAUGUUUCAGAGAAGGAGUUAAUCUUGCACUAGUGAAAGGAGUUUUCUCUAACAAUCAAAUCACAGGUCUAGUUGCUAACUCAUUUUUAUUCAAAAGUAGAAUCCUCUUCAUUCUGAGGGCUGUUUCUUCAGAAUACACUGUGUGCUCAUGAAUUGCUUUGAAAAAAUACCCAACAUCAAAGCUCUGAACAUAUCUAAUACCUUCAACAUAUGUAUAUAUAAAACAGCAUUAAAUCCAUUAACAUACAUGUAUUUAUAAGCCCAUUAGCAUGUAUUUAUGCACAUUAAAAUUGCAACACUGAAGACCAGUACAUAUUUCACAUGAAAAUAAAGUAUAUUUGUGUGUGUGUGUGUGUGUGUGUGUGUGUGUGCAGGUGUAUGUAUAUGUAUAUGUAUAUGUGUUAACAGUUUUUAGUGUUGGUCCAAAUAUACACAUAUAAAUAAGGAUACGUAUCCUUUAGUCUAGCUUUCUAAUCUUGUUGAAAAAUCUCCAUCAUCUAGGCCUACUUUCAUAUAUCUUCCUUGUAAUGUGGAAGAAAGGAUUUGGGAUUAACAGACUCUGGCUUCUUUAAAAUGAUUCGACAAUUCAAGCUGAGGUGGAUCUUCUUUGCUGCCAUAUUAUGUUUGCCUGAGUAGACUAGCUGACAUGGUUUGACAUGAUUGGCCUUGUAGAACUUUGUAUAUGUCUUUGGGAUUGGACAAACCACUAUUAAUUAGACAAAUCACUUGACUAAUAGCAUCUUACUUAUUGUGGCCUUAUAGCUUUUGGAAAAUCCUUCCUUUAGGCCAUUUCCUUGCUGUAGAGUGAGUAAUUGGCCUCCAAUUUUUCUAGCUUAUUUAAUCAAUAAACAAUCAAUUAACAUUUAUUAAGCACCUACUAUGUGCCAGACACUGUGCUAAGUGUUAGAUAUUUAAAAAAAAAAAAGGAAUUUAACAUUGAAAUGAAGCACAGUGCAUUUAAAUCACUCAGGUCACAAGGCCAAUGACACUGUGGAUAAAAUAGAUUUAGUGUUCCUAUUUUUAUACUAUUCUUUUACUUGGAAUAUUCCUCUCACACAAUCUAAUGGAAUUGAGUUCAUGGUUAGAUGCUGCUGAGGCAGAAUAAGCUGCCUAUUUUAUGUGUUGAGUUAAAAGCAUUUACACUUAAUUUUCAUCACUUUACGAACAAUGUAGUUUCAAUAACUCAACAUCCAUCUCAUGCCAUGUUUGGUUUGUUCUGUGUUUUAAAUGAUCUCUACCUUUUUGCAUUCAUGUUUCUAAAGAGGAUAUUGUGAGAUUAAUUAUAGGAUGUCUUGAAACCAAAUAGAUCAUGUCAUCUUAACGACUGCAAAUAACCAGCUGAAAAACCCUUGAGUUGUCUCCUGACCAAGGUUUUUGUUUUGAGAAAAUUGUACACAUUAGCUAGUUUGUGCCACCUUGUGGUAGGACUGAAGAAAUGAAAUCUUAUAAACUUGGGAAAGGUAAAUCUCAGACUAGUGAUUCUCCAACUUUUAGUUUCAUGGUCCCCCAUAUGGUUUUAAAAGUAAAGUUGAUACCUUUACCAUGUUAUGCUCUAUUUUUGACACGCUUUUCAUCUCUUUACUUACUUGGAAAUUUAUUUUUUCUAAAACAACAAUAAAAACAAAACACUCUUGCUAUUUUUUUUUUUUUUUUGUUGUUGUUGUUGUUGUUGCAAAAUUCUUUUAAUAUUUGUGAUGUGCCAGAGUAAAUUAUACAGCAGGGUAACCUAAUAAUUUGAUUGAGAAUAAGAUUUAGAUUAUUCAUGUGCUUUUGUAAAAGUUGUAUUUGCUAA
RNAcentral lists this long non-coding RNA (1809 nucleotides) under Sarcophilus harrisii (Tasmanian devil). RNAcentral's name for it is "lncRNA (ENSSHAG00000026708.1)". The record is from RNAcentral. Lineage: Eukaryota; Metazoa; Chordata; Mammalia; Dasyuromorphia; Dasyuridae.